CAUUAAGUGACUGAAAGAAAGUAAUGGUCUCUUAAACCAAAUUAUAGUAUAAAUCAAAUACUCUUAAUGA
RNAcentral lists this transfer RNA (70 nucleotides) under Bambusicaliscelis flavus. Its description in RNAcentral is "tRNA-Lys". The record is from RNAcentral. Lineage: Eukaryota; Metazoa; Arthropoda; Insecta; Hemiptera; Caliscelidae.